UUACCUACGGGACGCAGCAGUGAGGAAUAUUGGUCAAUGGACGAGAGUCUGAACCAGCCAAGUAGCGUGAAGGAUGACUGCCCUAUGGGUUGUAAACUUCUUUUAUAUGGGAAUAAAACAGGGUAUGCAUACCCUCUUGUAUGUACCAUAUGAAUAAGGAUCGGCUAACUACGUGCCAGCAGCAGCGGUAAUACGGAGGAUCCGAGCGUUAUCCGGAUUUAUUGGGUUUAAAGGGAGCGUAGGUGGAUUGUUAAGUCAGUUGUGGAAGUUUGCGGCUCAACCGUACAAUUGCAGU
RNAcentral lists this ribosomal RNA (295 nucleotides) under uncultured bacterium. Its description in RNAcentral is "partial 16S ribosomal RNA". It matches the Rfam family "Bacterial small subunit ribosomal RNA", at positions 335 to 627 of the family's 1533-position model. The record is from RNAcentral.